GUACUUCCAGGUGCACGUGAUACUGAUGGGGAAGGGUCGGCUGAUUGCUGCCAGAAAUGGAGAGCUCGUUUUAAGGAAAUGCGGCGUCUCCUGGGAGUGAAGAGGCUUUUGGGCCACCUUGAGGCAUGACGGGUGCCGCUUCGUUUCCCUGCGACCGCUGCCUGUUUCGACUGAGCCCCUCACAGGAGGACGUGGCGGGGGCAGACGGGCGCAGCCUCCCGCCCUCUCCGUGACUCAGGGAAACGGCCUCGCCGCAGAGCGCUCCCUCGGCAGCUGGCUGCAGCACUCCUCCCCCGCCGGGCUUCAGAGUGGGUGGUUUCCUACAGCCUAGGGAGGGGGCCUGAAACGGGGUUUAAAAUCUUCCCUGCCCUCACACAAGCCCUUCUGACUGUUGGAGAACCUGACGCGCGGAUUCUAACUAGAACUGGCACUCUCUUCGGGUGUUAGAUAAUUAACUCAAAGGACAGCGAAGGCCUUUUAUGAUGUCUUUCAAGCUGGCCUUAUGACAGCUUUUCUUAACGUUUCUGCGGACAUUUUGGCGGACUUGUGUCGGCCUAGCUCAGUGAUCAGUUUCGUUAAAGAAUUUGAGUAUCCGAACAUUAAAGGAUUGGACCUAAAUUCUAGCAGGAGGAUUUUUAGCCACAUCAAAUAAUUUACGUCUCAAAGAUUUAGAUAAUUAGGGUAAGGAUGCUUAGUAAAACCCGAAGGUUCCAUCGCGCCACUGCACUCCAACCUGGGCGACAGAGCGAGACUCCGUCUCAAAAAAAAAACAAACAAAAAAAAACCUGAAGGUUCCUGGAGGAAAGAGAUGAACUAUUAGCCGUGUAUUUCGGUGGGACCACCUCAACAUAGGUUCCUGUAGGUUAGCAAUGUAGAAAUGUAGCGCUUCAAAGCCGGAGCAUCCUGUCUUCAAAGAGCAUGAAGGUAUCAACGGCAUUCAUUGUCGAUUAAUAAUAACCUUUCUGGUACUUUCUUGCUAAAGUAUAAGCCAUAAUAAUAUUUCAUAAUCGCACCAAUACAAUAAAGGAUGAAAGACGUUAGUUCUGUGCCUUUUAUCUUUGUAAGAGAGGUGAUUCUCCCCCCCCACCCCCCGCCCCGCCGAAAGAGAAAAGCUCAAGUCCACAAUAAUUAUUUUUAGUGUCCUUUUCAGUUAAAGGACAUAAAACCCUAUUGGGUAGACGAUAGUUUUGUAUGCUAAGCAGUUUAGGUUACAGUGAGAAGUUUGCCAAUCAUUUUAGUUGCUUUUAGUGUUUUUCCCUUUACUUAACUGUCUCACAUACUGAGCAUGAGAGAAGAGUCUGGCAGGUAAGAGGGCAAAGAUUGUUCUGCAAAGAAAAGCCUUGCCACCAUGUUGUAAGAGUGAAUAUUUAUGCUUGCAAAAUUUCUUUUUGUAUUGUUAAGCUAAAUACACGAAGAUCCUCUGUUCCGCAACAUUUGAAAUAACCUAAUGCCAGUCUAGUAAUAACUGCUUUAAACCCUUUUUGGAAGUAGACAAAUUCUAAAUUAAAAUUCUAAGGGAGUAAUUGUUUUAUUACAGUAAUUCAAUAGCUUGAUCAAGUCACCUUUUCAAUCUCAGAAUCCGGAGAUAAAAGAGCCGUAUCAUGAAUGGGCCACCAAAAUUUAAUUAGUGUCUGGCAUUUUCAUACAGACCCUGUAACUUUAAGUACAUUUAGAAUCCCAAAAGCAGUUGAUUUUAGCUAUUUGGAGUGGAAUAUCUAACCAAAAAGUGCGCUGAGGUUGUUAGUGACUGCUACGUCAUCACACAUAGAAAUUACACUGUUUUGAGAAAUAAUUUAGGAAGAGGAAAAAUAGAUCGUGAUAUCCUGGGUCAUUUUGAAAUGAUCUUCAAAUUAAUCCAAAAAUUUUCAAGAGAAAAAAAAAGUCAAGAUGAUA
RNAcentral lists this long non-coding RNA (1893 nucleotides) under Homo sapiens (human). RNAcentral's name for it is "non-protein coding lnc-PTRH2-3:4". The record is from RNAcentral. Lineage: Eukaryota; Metazoa; Chordata; Mammalia; Primates; Hominidae.